This 301-nucleotide ribosomal RNA is filed under the name uncultured bacterium. RNAcentral describes it as "partial 16S ribosomal RNA". It matches the Rfam family "Bacterial small subunit ribosomal RNA", at positions 509 to 807 of the family's 1533-position model. The record is from RNAcentral.
CAGCCGCCGCGGUAAUACGGAGGGGGCUAGCGUUGUUCGGAAUUACUGGGCGUAAAGCGCGCGUAGGUGGCCAUUUAAGUCCGCUGUGAAAGUCAAAGGCUCAACCUUUGAAAGCCGGUGGAUACUGGAUGGCUAGAGUACGGAAGAGGCGAGUGGAAUUCCUGGUGUAGCGGUGGAAUGCGCAGAUAUCAGGAGGAACACCAAUAGCGAAGGCAGCUCGCUGGGACGUUACUGACACUGAGGCGCGAAAGCGUGGGGAGCGAACAGGAUUAGAGACCCCAGUAGUCCCUGUCUCUUAUAC